RNAcentral lists this long non-coding RNA (772 nucleotides) under Homo sapiens (human). Its description in RNAcentral is "HSALNT0319210". The record is from RNAcentral. Lineage: Eukaryota; Metazoa; Chordata; Mammalia; Primates; Hominidae.
ACUUUCAGCUCAGACACAAGACAGGUGAAUGCCUUCAUCAUGACUGCCAGAGAGGGAGGAGGCCAACCUGGCACCACCAUGGAGGUCCUCAAAUCUACCACCCUGGCAGAGGCGAGCUGUGAGAUGGCCCUGGCUUUUGUGGGACCACCUUCUGAAGGUCAUCUGGAACUGGAUGAGAAGUGCUCAAGGAUAUAAGAUGAGAAACAGCCUUAAAAAGGUGAAGUAAUUUGACCAAGGUAUAGGCAAAACAGUGGAGCCAAUAUUUGAACACGAGUCUGUCUAAAGUGGCCGUAUAUGAAAAGCAGGUUCCCCUGAUCUGCCUGGGCAGUUUCAUCCCUGCAGAGCUGGGAUGAAUGACAAAUUCAAAACCUCUCUUUACACGUGGAUUUGAACAAGAAAUCUCCAGGAAGCAGGUUUGAAGAGAUGGGAUCCAGACACCUCCUAAGCCUCUUGUUUUCAAAUUUGUCUGCAUGUUGGAAUCACCUGGCCAUCUUUUUAAAACUGCUGAUGCCUGUAUGUGCCCCCUCCUCCCAAGAUUCUGAUUUCAUUGGCUCAGGGUGAAGCCUCAGCAUCAUAAUUUUUUUUUUUUAAUAGAGUCUUGCCCUGUUGCCCAGGCUGGAGUGCAGUGGUGCAAUCUCGGCUCACUGCAACCUCUGCCUCCCAGGUUCAGGCAAUUCUCAUGCCCCAGCCUCCUGAGUAGCUGGAAAUGCAGGUGCACACCACCACACCCAGCUAAUUUUUUGUAUUUUUAGUGGAGAUAGGGUUUCACCAU